CCUCCAUCACAUUGAAGUUUCGAAUCCAAACCCCGAUAACAAAGGAAAAGAAGCAGAAGUUUGAGGCCGCAAGAAGCAAAAGAAACCCACAAAGGGCCAAACUUCAAAACCUUAUACCAAAAAAGACGAUCGAUGCGCAAGAUAGUACAGAGCUCUUACCUUGGAUUUCCGCUUCCCCGUACCCUCCNNNNNNNNNNNNNNNNNNNNAUUGAAGCUUCGAAUCCAAACCCCGAUAACAAAGGAAAAGAAGCAGAAGUUUGAGGCCGCAAGAAGCAAAAGAAACCCACAAAGGGCCAAACUCCAAAACCUUAUACCAAAAAAGACGAUCGAUGCGCGAGAUAGUACAGAGUUCUUACCUUGGAUUUCCGCUUCCCCGUACCCUCCAUCACAUUGAAGCUUCGAAUCCAAACCCCGAUAACAAAGGAAAAGAAGCAGAAGUUUGAGGCCGCAAGAAGCAAAAGAAACCCACGAAGGGCCAAACUUCAAAACCUUAUACCAAAAAAUACGAUCGAUGUGCAAGAUAGUACAGAGCUCUUACCUUGGAUUUCCGCUUCCCCGUACCCUCCUCCUGGCUGCCUUCCUCCUCCCCACUCUCCGUCACCUCCGUCGCGGCCGCCUGCCCAGCAUCUACUCCGGCGGACAUUUCCCCAUCAGAAUUUCCGGAAGCGAUCGUUCGACAUUGAACGCGAGACAACCAUCGUCCCGAUUGAUAACAGCUAGGGUAUGAAAAGGAGGAGCUACUGGCGGGAGAUUUAGCGAGUCUUGAGGAGG
This 771-nucleotide long non-coding RNA is filed under the name Musa acuminata (dwarf banana). RNAcentral's name for it is "long non-coding RNA (MACU_LNC000355)". Lineage: Eukaryota; Viridiplantae; Streptophyta; Magnoliopsida; Zingiberales; Musaceae. The record is from RNAcentral.